This 1082-nucleotide long non-coding RNA is filed under the name Homo sapiens (human). RNAcentral's name for it is "HSALNT0371133". Lineage: Eukaryota; Metazoa; Chordata; Mammalia; Primates; Hominidae. The record is from RNAcentral.
AAAAAAAAAAAAAAAACUGCAAGCUACAGACAGAUGGACAAGUGAUAACUGAUUUAGCAGAGCUGAGAAAGUUGACUCUCACAUGAGGAGGAGAUAAAGCUGAGAUGCAAACCACAGAACACAUCAAAAGCUCAGGAACUGGCAGUACCAGAUCCUUUGGAAGUGUGGGUGAAUAUGGGCUAAAAACAGGAAGAUGGGUGGACAGCUUGUUUGACAAGCCGUCAGAUCCCAGAUCCCCUCUCACUCCAUGCUGCCAGGCAACUGCCUGCCCCACCCAAGUGAACUUUGGAAAAGAUAAAGCAGGGUCUCUGGACGGGGGAACACCAGGCAUAGUUGAGGGUAAACCGUACUGAAAAUAUGGCUUUCAGUGAACGUUUUCACGACGAAUGCUGAAAUCGACAGCCUUCUUUUCUCACUUGGUUCCACGAAGGCUGGCAGCCAGGAUUACAUACUCUAGGAAAAGGCUGAAGACUCUUCACUGGGGAAUCCUAAAGUCUCAUGAGAAAAGAACUACAUGUAUUGGCAUUUGAGAGUUCCUCCAAUGACACACUACAGAGAGGCGAGCACAAAAUUCAGACGACGGGAAACAACCCAGCAAUCAGGAGCAUUGCCUUAAUAGCAAAACAAGCGAAACAACCCAAAUGCCCAUCAGGUGACGGGUGGAUAAACACAGUGCGGUCUGUCCAUACAUGGAAUGUGACUCAGCCACAGGCAGGAAUGAAGCGCUGACACACGCAGCAACACGGAUGAACCGUGAGGUCACGGAGUGGAGUGAAAGAUACCAGUCAUGAAGUCACACACCGUAUGAUGCCAUUGACAUGAAGUGUUCAGAGCAAGUAAAUCCUUACAGAUGGAAGGCAGAGCGGUGACUGCCAGGGACUAGGAGUGGGGGGCCAGGGGGUGACUGCUAAUGGGUAUGGGAUUUCAUUUCGGGGCUGGUGGAAACGUUCCGGAGCCAGAGAGUAGUGAUAGCUGCACAACUCUAUGUAUAUGCUAUGAAUCACCACCGAAUGGUAUAUUUUUAAAGGACGAAUUUAUGGUAUGUAAAUUGUGUCUCAAUAAAGCUGCUAUCUUAAAAUUCA